GGAAGGUUAAGUGAUGGGGUGCAAGCUCUUGAUCGAAGCCCCGGUAAACGGCGGCCGUAACAAUAACGGUCCUAAGGUAGCGAAAAUUCCUUGUCGGGUAAGUUCCGACCUGCACGAAUGGCGUAACGAUGGCCACACUGUCUCCUCCCUGAGACUCAGCGAAGUUGAAAAUGGUUGUGAAGAUGCAAUCUCCCCCGCGGUUAGACGGAAAGACCCCAUGAACCUUUACUGUAGCUUUGCAUUGGACUUUGAACCGACUUGUGUAGGAUAGGUGGGAGGCAGUGAAGCCGGGACGCUAGUUCUGGUGGAGCCAACCUUGAAAUACCACCCUGGUUUGUUUGAGGUUCUAACCACGGCCCCGUGAAUCCGGGUCUGGGACCGUGCAUGGUAGGCAGUUUGACUGGGGCGGUCUCCUCCUAAAGUGUAACGGAGGAGUACGAAGGUACGCUAGGUACGGUCGGACAUCGUGCUAAUAGUGCAAUGGCA
This 486-nucleotide ribosomal RNA is filed under the name uncultured bacterium. Its description in RNAcentral is "bacterial LSU rRNA". It matches the Rfam family "Bacterial large subunit ribosomal RNA", at positions 1871 to 2359 of the family's 2925-position model. The record is from RNAcentral.